RNAcentral lists this long non-coding RNA (608 nucleotides) under Sorghum bicolor (sorghum). RNAcentral's name for it is "long non-coding RNA (SBIC_LNC009580)". The record is from RNAcentral. Lineage: Eukaryota; Viridiplantae; Streptophyta; Magnoliopsida; Poales; Poaceae.
CUAACUUAUCUCCUAAACAAAAGCACCUAGGACUGUAACUCCUGGAGCAACUAACAAACCAACUAACUUAUCUCCUAAACAAAAGCACCUAGGACUCUUAACUCGUGCAGCAAUUAGCCACAUGCAUGUGCUGCAUCCUGAUCCUGGACGUCCUCCUUGUGCUUCCUACGGCAUUCAUACAUUCUGCCAUACAUGACAGGAAAUUUGACCACAGUUUAGUUACUUUUUACUGUUUGUGCAACAAUUAAAUUUGACCAAAACUGCAUGAAGUAUCUUGUUAGUGAUUCACGGCUGCUUCCACUAGUGGCCACUUGACCCUGAUUGAAGUGAAGGGAACUCAUUUGUCAUAUUCUUGAAUUGCAUCUAAGGUGUGCUAUGUUCUUCAAAUUUUGGAAGAUCUUCAUCAGUGUAAUUAAUGUAAUUCAUUUCAAAUACUUUACUCCCCGAAAGUGAGCAUGUGCAGUCUGUUUCUCUCCCAGGAUAUGAUCCUCUAAAUUGCAGUAGGCCAGGAGCUCAAAUGGUUCCAUGUGGAACAAAAAUCUUAUCUCAUGAAUCAAAACUGAAACAAUUACUGCUUGACUCGAGCUUUAGAAACAUCAAUCUUUGAG